UACGUAGGUGGCAAGCGUUAUCCGGAAUUAUUGGGCGUAAAGCGCGCGUAGGCGGCUACCUAAGUCGGAUGUGAAAGCCCCUGGCUUAACUGGGGAAGUGCACCCGAAACUGAGUAGCUAGAGUGCGAAAGAGGGUCGCGGAAUUCCCGGUGUAGAGGUGAAAUUCGUAGAUAUCGGGAGGAACACCGGUGGCGAAGGCGGCGACCUGGGUCGACACUGACGCUGAGGCGCGAAAGCGUGGGGAGCAAACAGG
This 253-nucleotide ribosomal RNA is filed under the name uncultured bacterium. RNAcentral describes it as "partial 16S ribosomal RNA". It matches the Rfam family "Bacterial small subunit ribosomal RNA", at positions 524 to 776 of the family's 1533-position model. The record is from RNAcentral.